GACGAACGCUGGCGGCGUGCUUAACACAUGCAAGUCGAACGGAAAGGCCCUGCUUUUGUGGGGUGCUCGAGUGGCGAACGGGUGAGUAACACGUGAGUAACCUGCCCUUGACUUUGGGAUAACUUCAGGAAACUGGGGCUAAUACCGGAUAGGAGCUCCUGCUGCAUGGUGGGGGUUGGAAAGUUUCGGCUGUUGGGGAUGGACUCGCGGCUUAUCAGCUUGUUGGUGGGGUAGGGGCUUACCAAGGCUUUGACGGGUAGCCGGCCUGAGAGGGUGACCGGCCACAUUGGGACUGAGAUACGGCCCAGACUCCUACGGGAGGCAGCAGUGGCGAAUAUUGCACAAUGGGCGGAAGCCUGAUGCAGCAACGCCGCGUGCGGGAUGCCGGCCUUCGGGUUGUAAACCGCUUUCGCCUGUGACGAAGCGUGAGUGACGGUAAUGGGUAAAGAAGCACCGGCUAACUACGUG
RNAcentral lists this ribosomal RNA (468 nucleotides) under uncultured bacterium. RNAcentral describes it as "partial 16S ribosomal RNA". It matches the Rfam family "Bacterial small subunit ribosomal RNA", at positions 28 to 507 of the family's 1533-position model. The record is from RNAcentral.